RNAcentral lists this non-coding RNA (509 nucleotides) under Cryptosporidium parvum. The record is from RNAcentral. Lineage: Eukaryota; Apicomplexa; Conoidasida; Eucoccidiorida; Cryptosporidiidae.
GGCUUCGUUAACAUGUACAUACAAUAGAAACAUGUAUAUGUAGAAAGUGAUGCUGAAUAUGAAGAUAAUAUUAAUCUAACAUAAUCCAAUGAGAAAUCUGAACUUAAUGACGUAUCAGUAGCAAGAGGAAUAAAAUAAGUUAGAGCAGUAUGUGCAAUACACCAUCCUAGUAUACCAACAUUUAUUCUUACAUGUACUUCGUGAUUUUUUGCAUUUUUGCUUUGUAAAAUUAACCUAAUGAAAAAUAAAUAAAUAACUUUAGUAAUAAUACUCAAAUAUUCCAUAGUGCUUUGAGAUGGAAUAGGGAUUGAAGCUAAAAGUAAUGAUUUCAAAAAACAACCCGAUACAGAGUAAGAUAUUGAAGUAAAUAACAAUGGAUUUGUUCCUGUUGUUUCAAAAACACUUGAGAUAUUAUACAUUAAAUAAUAUGGUCCCAUUAAUAGUAUCAUUAAUGUUAUUCCUGAAAAUACUGGAAACCCCAUUUUUUUUUAAUUUAAUUUAAAUUCAAA